This 477-nucleotide ribosomal RNA is filed under the name uncultured bacterium. RNAcentral's name for it is "partial 16S ribosomal RNA". It matches the Rfam family "Bacterial small subunit ribosomal RNA", at positions 28 to 507 of the family's 1533-position model. The record is from RNAcentral.
GAUGAACGCUGGCGGCGUGCCUAACACAUGCAAGUCGAACGAAGCACCUUACCUGAUUCUUCGGAUGAAAGUUUGGUGACUGAGUGGCGGACGGGUGAGUAACGCGUGGGUAACCUGCCCUGUACAGGGGGAUAACAGCUGGAAACGGCUGCUAAUACCGCAUAAGCGCACGAGGAGACAUCUCCUUGUGUGAAAAACUCCGGUGGUACAGGAUGGGCCCGCGUCUGAUUAGCUGGUUGGCAGGGUAACGGCCUACCAAGGCAACGAUCAGUAGCCGGUCUGAGAGGAUGAACGGCCACAUUGGAACUGAGACACGGUCCAAACUCCUACGGGAGGCAGCAGUGGGGAAUAUUGCACAAUGGGGGAAACCCUGAUGCAGCAACGCCGCGUGAGUGAAGAAGUAUUUCGGUAUGUAAAGCUCUAUCAGCAGGGAAGAUAAUGACGGUACCCGACUAAGAAGCUCCGGCUAAAUACGUG